Molecule: ribosomal RNA, 492 nt
Filed under: uncultured bacterium
Lineage: Bacteria
Description: partial 16S ribosomal RNA
Rfam family: Bacterial small subunit ribosomal RNA
Source: RNAcentral
GACGAACGCUGGCGGCGUGCUUAACACAUGCAAGUCGAACGGUGAAGCGCCUUCCUUUUUGGUGGGUGUGGAUGAGUGGCGAACGGGUGAGUAACACGUGAGUAACCUGCCCCCUUCUUCUGGAUAACCGCAUGAAAGUGUGGCUAAUACGGGAUAUUCUGGGUCUGUCGCAUGAUGGGUCUGGGAAAGAUAUUGUUUCGGUGGGGAUGGGCUCGCGGCCUAUCAGCUUGUUGGUGGGGUGAUGGCCUACCAAGGCGGUGACGGGUAGCCGGCCUGAGAGGGUGGACGGUCACACUGGGACUGAGACACGGCCCAGACUCCUACGGGAGGCAGCAGUGGGGAAUAUUGCACAAUGGGCGCAAGCCUGAUGCAGCGACGCCGCGUGAGGGAUGGAGGCCUUCGGGUUGUGAACCUCUUUCGCCAGUGAAGCAGGCCUGCCUCGUUUGUGGGUGGGUUGACGGUAGCUGGAUAAGAAACGCCGGCUAACUACGU